GAUAUUGAACAAAACAUAAGAAAUGAUCGUAUCAUUUAAUGGAUGUACUGUAACACGAUUGAAUAGUUAUAAAUUAACUAUUCAGUAGUAUUAGAUCUUGAGAGGAAGUAAGCAAACCACUCCCGCAUCCAGAAGUACAUUAGUUUAAGAAUUUCCUUGUAAGAUGCUGACCAAAAUUAAAUUUUGAUUGUCAGUAGGUUAUGUAGUUGACAUUCAACAACUUCUAUUAUUCAAACAUGAAGCAAUCUACAAUACUUUUUCACCUUACCAUGAUCUAACUUCUUCUAUUGUUGCAUAUUUCACGAAAUCAAACUCCUUGGAGUAUCUAGCUACACGAUCGAUAACCACUUGAGCUGCAGAAAGAAGUAUAAAUCAGCUAAAUUCUUUAAGAUUUUCCAGCGUCCAAUUAAAAAUCGCUAAUAUUGAAUAGAAAAAAUAAACAUACCACAGUUCUAUUUAUCAAAUUUAUUUAAUUCUCUGUGUAGGAUUAUUUUCUAGUUUAAUAACUAUGAUAUAAUAGGAACAAUGUGUACAGUUGGUAGAAAAACUAACAUUGAAAUAAUUGUUCUCAGAUACUUUCCUAUAAAAUCUAUCAUUCAUUUAAAUGAUUAAAGCUGAAAAUGCCCUGUUUCCACACAAGCAAACAAUGAUAUAUAAAUUCAUAUGUAUAAAACUCAAGAGUAUGCUUAACAGAUAGAGGCAGAAUCUAAUCGAUACAUACCAAAGGUUCUAAGAAGGAAGGCACAAUAAGAUUCAUCAUACCAACAACCAAUCCUUUGAAAGCAUUCCUCAAUAACGAGUCGACGACUCGUGAACAACUGCCACAUCAAAUCUCAAGUAAUUUACUAAACAUCUAUAUAAAAUUCAAAUUCUGUGAAAACCACCACAAAUACAAACAAAUUUCACAAAAUAUAAUAUUCCCAAACAGAGAUAAUGUAUAAGUCAAAAAUUCUAAACCACAGACCACCAUAGUAAGCUUAAUAUAGUUGUCGAUUAUUUCACCUUUAUCGUAUGCCCCUCCUACCUCUGCAUAGCCACAAGCCAAUUUUUGAAAUCAAAAUCGUCGAGCAAAUCUGUCUCCUACAAGGGGUACAAGUAAACAAGUUAGGGCUCAUACUAUUUAAGAACUUGUGAAAAUCUUGGGAACGAGGCAGAGCGAAUUGUCGCGCCACGAGAGGGUGAAGACGAAAGUGAAUAAGUUUGUAGAGAAUAGAACAGGACUAGGUGGUGUAGCGGAGUGUGAGUAAGAAAAAUAGGAAAUUGAAUAGGUAAUGGGCAUAGGAGAUUGGAGAUGAGUUUCUCCAACUCUUCGUGGUGGGUGGGGUCAAGGGUGGGAGGUUAUAUAAUAUAUUUACAAUUACCACAAAAAUAA
This 1372-nucleotide long non-coding RNA is filed under the name Salvia miltiorrhiza (redroot sage). RNAcentral's name for it is "long non-coding RNA (SMIL_LNC006650)". Lineage: Eukaryota; Viridiplantae; Streptophyta; Magnoliopsida; Lamiales; Lamiaceae. The record is from RNAcentral.